This is a non-coding RNA of Equus caballus (horse), 52 nucleotides long. NCBI's taxonomy places the organism in Eukaryota, Metazoa, Chordata, Mammalia, Perissodactyla, Equidae. The record is from Rfam.
UUUUUAGUAUAAGUAUAUCCCAUUCAAUAUUUGGGACAUACUUAUGCUAAAA